RNAcentral lists this ribosomal RNA (570 nucleotides) under uncultured bacterium. RNAcentral's name for it is "bacterial SSU rRNA". It matches the Rfam family "Bacterial small subunit ribosomal RNA", at positions 240 to 807 of the family's 1533-position model. The record is from RNAcentral.
AUUAGUUAGUUGGUGAGGUAACGGCUCACCAAGACUACGAUGUCUAGGGGUUCUGAGAGGAUGAUCCCCCACACUGGUACUGAGACACGGACCAGACUCCUACGGGAGGCAGCAGUGAGGAAUAUUGGUCAAUGGGCGCAAGCCUGAACCAGCCAUCCCGCGUGCAGGAUGACGGCCCUAUGGGUUGUAAACUGCUUUUAUACACCAAGAAAAAUCCCCACGUGUGGGGACCCGACGGUAGUGUAUGUAUAAGCAUCGGCUAACUCCGUGCCAGCAGCCGCGGUAAUACGGAGGAUGCGAGCGUUAUCCGGAUUCAUUGGGUUUAAAGGGUGCGUAGGCGGCUUUUUAAGUCAGUGGUGAAAUCCUGCCGCUUAACGGUAGAAUUGCCAUUGAUACUGAAGAGCUUGAGUACAAUUGAGGUAAGCGGAAUGUGUAGUGUAGCGGUGAAAUGCUUAGAUAUUACACAGAACACCGAUUGCGAAGGCAGCUUACUAAACUGUCACUGACGCUGAUGCACGAAAGCGUGGGGAGCGAACAGGAUUAGAUACCCUGGUAGUCCACGCCGUAAAC